UACAGAGAUGACAACCGUUGUUCGGAAUCACUGGGCUUAAAGCGCACGCAGGCGGGAAGAAAAGUUGAUUGUGAAAACCUAUGGCUUACCCAUAGAACAGCAGUCAAAACUAUCUUCCUUGAGGAUGUGAGGGGAGAGUGGAACUUCUGGUGAAGCGGUGAAAUGUGUUGAUAUCAGAAGGAACGCCGGAGGCGAAAGCGACUCUCUGGUGCAUAUCUGACGCUCAGGUGCGAAAGCUAGGGGAGCAAACGGGAUUAGAACCGGUACGU
RNAcentral lists this ribosomal RNA (269 nucleotides) under uncultured bacterium. Its description in RNAcentral is "partial 16S ribosomal RNA". It matches the Rfam family "Bacterial small subunit ribosomal RNA", at positions 524 to 794 of the family's 1533-position model. The record is from RNAcentral.